UUCCACUCAAGGCAGCUACACUCAUCAGAUUUCAUACUGCAACGCCAAACAUGAACACCGCCUAUUUUUUUUAAAAAGGUUACACUCGUAGGCAGCUCUCUGACUAGAAGACAGUAGAUUCUUCUUAAUGAGACCCUGGCAAAAAGGAAAAGAGAAAUCCCCUAAGACGCUGGUCAAGAGACAACAAGGUGUUGUCAGCAGAACAUCCGCAGUGAAUAAAGAGCCAGGCUCUUGGGCUGGGCCACCUGCAGGGACUGCGAUGGAGCUGGACACAGUUGACGAAUGGAGUUAAGACCUGAGUCAUCCAGUGCUUCUCUUUGUUAAGUUCACACAUACCCUCACUGAAAUGUUCAGGGGUCUACAAGACCAUCUUUACCUCUGUCACCAAUCUCAAGUUAGAGGGUCCCCGUGAUCACUCUAUGGUUUGACAAUUCGCUGGAAGGACUCAGAAAGCUCACCAAAAGUGGCUAUACUCACAGUUAUGGUUUAAGACAGAACAGGGACAGAGAUUAAAAGCAGCUAAGGGAAAAGGGACACGAAGAAGGGUCCAGGAGAGCCCAAAGCAUGGGACCUCCAGUUGUCUUCUCCCUGUGGAGCUAUGCACACUUGAUUUCUCACAGCUGCAAUGUGUGACGAUACACACGAGCCAGUACCAACCAGAUAAGCUCACCCAAGCCUUGGUAUCUAGAGUUUUUACUGGGGCUCAGUCACAUAGCCAUGGCUGACUGGUCAUGCCGUCAACCUUAGUCUCAAGAGGUCAGAUACAUACUACAUGACCCAAGGACCCGUCCUAGAAACCACACUGCUAGCAUAGGCUAUCUGGCUUGGCCAAAGGUCCCCAGGUUAAACAAAUCAAGGCAAGAUUUUCCGAGGUCUUAGAGGUUACCUCCCAGGAGCCAAGGGCA
Odocoileus virginianus texanus is the source of this 905-nucleotide non-coding RNA. The record is from RefSeq and is a predicted model, not a curated record. Lineage: Eukaryota; Metazoa; Chordata; Mammalia; Artiodactyla; Cervidae.